RNAcentral lists this ribosomal RNA (367 nucleotides) under uncultured bacterium. RNAcentral describes it as "bacterial SSU rRNA". It matches the Rfam family "Bacterial small subunit ribosomal RNA", at positions 8 to 353 of the family's 1533-position model. The record is from RNAcentral.
AGAGUUUGAUCAUGGCUCAGGACGAACGCUGGCGGCGUGCUUAACACAUGCAAGUCGAACGAGAAUUAAUAAGAAGCUUGCUUCUUAUUAAUUCGAGUGGCAAACGGGUGAGUAACGCGUAAGCAACCUGCCCUUCAGAUGGGGACAACAGCUGGAAACGGCUGCUAAUACCGAAUACGUUCUUUUUGUCGCAUGGCAGAGGGAAGAAAGGGAGGCUCUUCGGAGCUUUCGCUGAAGGAGGGGCUUGCGUCUGAUUAGCUUGUUGGCGGGGUAACGGCCCACCAAGGCGACGAUCAGUAGGGGUUCUGAGAGGAAGGCCCCCCACAUUGGAACUGAGACACGGUCCAAACUCCUACGGGAGGCAGCA